AAUGAACGUUGGCGGCGUGGAUUAGGCAUGCAAGUCGAAUGAAUCCCAUCUGGGUAACUGGGUGGGGGAAAUGGCGAAAGGGGCAGUAAGGCGUGGGUAACCUACCCCGGGGACGGGCAUAGCCGUCCUAACGGACGGGUAAUUCCCGGCGAUCCAGUUGGGGGGCAUCCUUUGACUGGGAAAUGAGUUUCGCCUCGGGAGGGGCUCACGUAGUAUUAGCUUGUUGGUGAGGUGACGGCUCACCAAGGCGAAGAUGCUUAGCGGGUGUGAGAGCACGACCCCGCGCCACUGGCACUGAGACACUGGCCAGACUCCUACGGGAGGCUGCAGUCGAGGAUCUUCGGGCAAUGGGCGCAAGCCCGACCGAGCGACGCCGCGUGUGCGAAAAA
RNAcentral lists this ribosomal RNA (389 nucleotides) under uncultured bacterium. Its description in RNAcentral is "bacterial SSU rRNA". It matches the Rfam family "Bacterial small subunit ribosomal RNA", at positions 28 to 412 of the family's 1533-position model. The record is from RNAcentral.